GCGCCCUUAGCUCAGGUGGAUAGAGCGACAGCCUCCGAAGCUGUAGGUCAGAGGUUCAAGUCCUCUAGGGCGCGCCA
This 77-nucleotide transfer RNA is filed under the name Evansella sp. LMS18. RNAcentral describes it as "tRNA-Arg". It matches the Rfam family "tRNA". From Rfam's summary of the family: Transfer RNA (tRNA) molecules are approximately 80 nucleotides in length. The record is from RNAcentral. Lineage: Bacteria; Bacillati; Bacillota; Bacilli; Caryophanales; Bacillaceae.